RNAcentral lists this ribosomal RNA (1444 nucleotides) under metagenome. RNAcentral describes it as "bacterial SSU rRNA". It matches the Rfam family "Bacterial small subunit ribosomal RNA". The record is from RNAcentral.
AGAGUUUGAUCCUGGCUCAGGAUGAACGCUGGCGGUAUGCUUAACACAUGCAAGUCGAACGGGAUCUUAGGAUCUAGUGGCGGACGGGUGAGUAACGCGUGAGAAUCUGGCUUCAGGUCGGGGACAACAGUUGGAAACGACUGCUAAUACCGGAUGUGCCGAAAGGUGAAAGAUUUAUUGCCUGAAGAUGAGCUCGCGUCUGAUUAGCUAGUUGGUAGUGUAAGAGACUACCAAGGCGACGAUCAGUAGCUGGUCUGAGAGGAUGAUCAGCCACACUGGGACUGAGACACGGCCCAGACUCCUACGGGAGGCAGCAGUGGGGAAUUUUCCGCAAUGGGCGAAAGCCUGACGGAGCAAUACCGCGUGAGGGAGGAAGGCUCUUGGGUCGUAAACCUCUUUUCUCAGGGAAGAAAAGAAUGACGGUACCUGAGGAAUAAGCAUCGGCUAACUCCGUGCCAGCAGCCGCGGUAAUACGGAGGAUGCAAGCGUUAUCCGGAAUGAUUGGGCGUAAAGGGUCCGCAGGUGGAACUGAAAGUCUGCUGUUAAAGAAUCUGGCUCAACCAGAUAAAAGCAGUGGAAACUACAGAACUAGAGUACGUUCGGGGCAGAAGGAAUUCCUAGUGUAGCGGUGAAAUGCGUAGAUAUUAGGAAGAACACCGGUGGCGAAAGCGUUCUGCUAGGCCGUAACUGACACUGAGGGACGAAAGCUAGGGGAGCGAAUGGGAUUAGAUACCCCAGUAGUCCUAGCUGUAAACGAUGGAUACUAGGCGUGGCUUGUAUCGACCCGAGCCGUGCCGUAGCUAACGCGUUAAGUAUCCCGCCUGGGGAGUACGCACGCAAGUGUGAAACUCAAAGGAAUUGACGGGGGCCCGCACAAGCGGUGGAGUAUGUGGUUUAAUUCGAUGCAACGCGAAGAACCUUACCAAGGCUUGACAUCCUGCGAACCUUUCUGAAAGGAGAGAGUGCCUUCGGGAGCGCAGAGACAGGUGGUGCAUGGCUGUCGUCAGCUCGUGUCGUGAGAUGUUGGGUUAAGUCCCGCAACGAGCGCAACCCUCGUUUUAGUUGCCAGCAUUAAGUUGGGCACUCUAGAGAGACUGCCGGUGACAAACCGGAGGAAGGUGAGGAUGACGUCAAGUCAGCAUGCCCCUUACGCCUUGGGCUACACACGUACUACAAUGCUACGGACAAAGGGCAGCUACACAGCGAUGUGAUGCAAAUCUCAUAAACCGUAGCUCAGUUCAGAUCGAAGGCUGCAACUCGCCUUCGUGAAGGAGGAAUCGCUAGUAAUUGCAGGUCAGCAUACUGCAGUGAAUUCGUUCCCGGGCCUUGUACACACCGCCCGUCACACCAUGGAAGUUGGUCACGCCCGAAGUCAUUACCCCAACCGAAAGGAGGGGGAUGCCGAAGGUAGGACUGGUGACUGGGGUGAAGUCGUAACAAGGUA